RNAcentral lists this long non-coding RNA (4951 nucleotides) under Sus scrofa (pig). Its description in RNAcentral is "lncRNA (ENSSSCG00000054314.1)". The record is from RNAcentral. Lineage: Eukaryota; Metazoa; Chordata; Mammalia; Artiodactyla; Suidae.
UUUUUGCCAUUUCUUGGGCCACUCCUGUGGCAUAUGGAGGUUCCCAGGCUAGGGGUCGAAUCAGAGCUGUAGCUGCCAGCCUACGCCAGAGCCACAGCAACACGGGAUCCGAGCCACGUCUGCAACCUACACCACAGCUCACGGCAACGCCGGAUUGUUAACCCACUGAGCAAGGGUAGGGAUCGAACCUGCAACCUCAUGGUUCCUAGUCGGAUUUGUUAACCACUGCGCCACGAUGGGAACUCCUGCAUCUAUUAAUCUCAAAGUCCCUUGGCCACCACAAGUCUGUUCUCUAUAUCUGUGAGUCUGCUUCUGUUUUUUAGGUAGGUUAAUUUGUGUAAUAUUUCAAAUUCCAUUAUAAGUGAUAUCACAUGGUAUUUGUCUUCUCUUGCUGACUUAUUUCACUUAGUAUGAGAAUCUCUAGUUGCAUCCGUGUUUCUGCAAAUGGCAUUAUUUUGUUCUUUUUUAUGGCUGAGUAGUAUUCCAUUGUGUAUAUGUACUUUGCAUUGUGUAUAUGUACUACAUCUUCUUAAUCCAUUCAUCUGUGGAUGGACAUUUAGGUUAUUUCUAUGUCUUGGCUAUUGUGAAUAGUGCUGCAAUGAAUAUAGGAGUACAUGUGUCUUUUUGAAUGAAAGUUUUGCCUGGAUAUAUGCCUAAGAGUGAGAUUGCUGGAUCAUAUGUGAGUUCUAUAUUUAGUUUUCUGAGGAUCUCUGUAUUGUUUUCCAUAGUGGUUGUAUCAAAUUACAUUCCCACCAACAGAGUAGGAGGGUUCCCUUUUCUCCACACCCACCCUCUCCAGCUUUUAUUUGUAGACUUAUUAAUGAUGGCCUAUCUGACCAGUGUGAGGUGGUGCCUCAUUAUGGUUUUGAUUUGCAUUUUUCUAACAAUUGGUGGUAUUGAACAUCUUUUCAUGUGCCUAUUGGCUACUUGUAUGUCUUCUUUGGAAAAAAAGUCUAAUUUAGGUCUUCUGCCCAUUUUUCAAUUAAGUUUUUUUUUGUUAUUAUUGAGUUGUAUGAGUUGUUUCUAUAUUUUGGAAAUUAAACCUGUGUCAGUUGGAUUUUUCUCCCAUUCUGUGGGUUGUCUUCAUUUUUUAAGGGAGGUGGAUCAAACAAGAUAUUAAUGUGAUAUAUGUCGAAAGAGUAUUCUGACUGUUUUCCUCUGGGAGUUUUAUAGUAUCUAGCCUUAAGUUUAGGUCUUUAAUCUAGGUUGAAUGCGUUUUUGUUUAUGGUGUUAGAGAAUGUUCUAAUUUCUUUUACAUGUAGCUGUCCAGUUUUCCCAGCAUCACUUAAUGAAGAAACUGUUUCCAACACUGUAUGUUCUUGCCUCCUUUGUCAUAGAUUAGUUACACAGUUUCAAAAGUAUAUUUUUGGGGGUCAGCCACCCUGUGAACAUUGAGGAACUUAUGGCAUUUUCUUGAUAUUAAGUGUUUUAAAGGAAGGAGGUUCCCCUUGCCUUUUCCUAAUUACUGACCUUUAGUGUGUUCUUUGAAGAAUGGAACCAAGCUGUCCUUUACUUUUUGUUCUUUGAGUCUCAUAUGCUUAUUAUGAUUGUGACAGAGUUUAAUUUCUUCUAAGUCCUCUAACACGACAAAACAAGUGAAGAGAAGCCAAAAACCAGAGAAGAACAUCUUUCAUCUCCUUCUUAAUACAUACAAAAUUAUGGAGAUUAAUUUAGAAGCCUGAUGAGGAAUUCAAUAGAAGAGGAUAUUUAAAUAGGAAAAAAGUAUAACACUAAAAAUAACUACUGCUUAUUGAGAAUUUGCUAUGUGUCUAGCACCAUGCUAAAUGCCUUUCAGACAACACUUCAAUUAAUCCUAACCACAACUCUUUUUAAUGCUUUAUGAAAGAAAAGUGAUUAUCUGGCACAUAUUAACACAAAUGAAUCACACAUUCAGAUGAUUUAACUACAUUUAAGGCAGUUGUUGAAUACCUCUGUGUUAGAUGCCAAGGCUAGAAAAAGAAUCUGCUACGGUCCUCUGGUUCUUGAGAAAAAAUUAUCACGAAGAAAAAUAAAUUUGUCAGUUGACUUUAGGCAUAUCUAUUUCAGCAUACGCAAGGAACAAAAGCAGACCUGGAAAAAGCUGAAAUCUUUUCAGCUACCACCCUACCCAUUCUGCCACGCCACACUGGCUGCCAGUUCUGCACCUAACUCACCCCAUCUUUCCUCCUAGUGGAAUUCCUCUCCAUCCUCUAACUCUCUGCUUCACGGUGUCUUCAUCGACCAUGUCUAGUCUGAGUCCUAUUCUAUUAGAGUGCUUUUAUCUACCAUUACCUGUGACAGUGAACUAAUUGGAUAGACUAAUCCUUACUUUUGUGUUAAUAAGAAACAAUAGCUUAUAAGAUAUUCCUCCCAGGGAACAGGUAACUUUCUUACUGACCUCCUCUUGCAAUAAAGUGUCAAAGUAUUUCUAGGAACUGAGAAAAGUUGAUAGAACAAUUUAGGGGCAGAGUAAAAAAGGGUACUUAGUCUGCUUCAGACUAUACUCACUUGAAAAUCAUUCACUUGAUAAAUUGUCGUUCCUUAACAAGUUAGCGUUUUUUCUAUAUAAGGCUAGUUGCUGGAGGUACACUGAUGAAUAAGACAGCAUAGCUCUCAUGCAGGCUCCACUUAGGUCUGUAACAUGGUCUAGGAUCUGUAAAGUGCUCAGGGGUGAGAGAGAGACCCUGUGCUCCCGAAGUUUGCAGGCUUGAAUGCCAUAACUAAGAUAUUUUGAUGGUACUUUUCCAUCUUUAUUUAAAAAUUUGUCAUAUGUGGGAUAAACACUGGCCUCUACUUGCUCUUUAACAAAGCAUGCUAAAGGCUGAUGAAAGAGAUCACCCAAAUAUGCUUUAGGUUACAUAUCUCUCUGUUAGGAAUAUAAAUCUAAAUCAGGGUUUAUAAACUCAUAUGUAUACAUGAGCCCAAUAGGUAAAAAAAAAAACAACAAAAUUCAGUGAUGUCAACUGGGUAUAAGACAAGAUGGGUUGAUAGGCACUGUAUUAAGUUGAAAUAUAUAUAUUUCAUACAAUGACAUUCAAAUACAAAAUUUAGAAACACAGUGUCAGCCAAUGAAAGCACAGCCAAGGACCCCAGAAUUUGAUCUCCAUGUCACUACAUUUUAUCUCUCAUCAGUAAGAUUGGCUGUGAUAUUGAAAAAAUGAAAGUCGUUUAACAAAAUCUGUAAAUUAUGGUUAUAUUUAUGUUUCCAUGUGCUAACUACAAAUUAGUUUAGGAAACAUUGUAUUACUGUAUUCAGAAAUAGUUAUCUCACACCCAUGAUGUCCUGGACUCUGUUCUAGGUGCUUGGGAUACAUUUGUGGCAAGCUAAAUGAAAAUAUGCAUCUUUGUGGGGUUUCCAUCCAAGCAAGGUAAAUAAGUAAAUAAUAGAAAUGACUUUAAGAAGGACUCUGGCAAAAAGAGAAGAGGGGACUGGUUAAUAGGAAGUAGAAGAUAUCUAUAGUGGUUGCGGUUUUUCAUAGAGCAAGGAGAACAUAUUGAAAAGGUUGGAUUUGAGUCAGUUGUUCAAAGUUGUGAUGGAGUUGCCAUGCAUAUAGUCAGAAAGUACAGUCCAAGCUGAAGGGAAGAUAAGCACACGAUUUUUGUGAGGCCCAUACAAGUGACAUUUAAGGGGACCUGUAGCUGGAGUGAAUGAGGGUUAGAGUAGAAUGCUAUGGGCCUUAUAAACCAUUUUAAAAACUUGAUUUCUCUAAAAAAUAAAUGGUUUUUUUUUUUUCAGAGGAAAUGAUCUAAAUUAUGUCUUAGGACUAUUCCAGCUGUGAUGUUGAGGAUAAACUCUACAUAAACAUUCUCACUGAACUCUUUUGGUAAUAAAGCAUCAAGAUUUUUCUAGGAACUGGAAUGGCUCAGACAGUGAUGGUAGCUGGGGAUCAUAAUUGCUGAGAAAUGUGACAGAUCCACUCGAGUGCCAAUGACCGCACAGAGUUAUCCCCUGAUGAUGUGUGAUUAAAAGCUUUUGUAUUAUUAGGGAAGAAGGAGCAAGAAUGUUCUUAACGCAAGAAUGAGGACAAGGAAAAUGGGUAUACUAAAUCUUUAGACCCACUUGUACGAAGAAAGGCUGUGUAGGGAGGGGGUUGGGAGGUGGCAAUGAUCACUCCAUAAGAGAGCCCACCCUAGGGAAGCACAGUCCUCAGGUAAGAACCAGAUUUUGGUUUCAGAAAGAAAAUAAAAGAAAUAGUAAGAGAGGAGGCUGAAAGUGAAUAUAGAGGAUUUGGGCUGUUGGCAAACCAUCUAUCUCAGAAGGUGCAAUGGAAGUUAUGAGGAACUGAUUAGGGAGAGGAGGAAGAUACAGAAGUGACGGGGUGAGUAUAUAAUGUAUUUUCCAAACAGGGCAUUUCUUUAAUUGUAUGGGAGACCAUUGAUAAUAUUCCAGGAUAACAGGCAUACAUAGGAACCAUUGCUAGCCUAGCUGGACUCAUGGUACAGGUGGCCGUCCUCAUUGCCUUAUGGGGAUCAGAGUGUCAGAGGUGAAGGAUGCCCUGGCAUCUGGGGCUUCUUUAAGUGAUAGUCGCAAAGAGGGUUAAAGGGCCUAAUGAGAUUUGCUGAAUACAAGGCCGAUAAUAGCAGCAGAGUUGGAGUGUUAGCGAGGGAAGUUACACCUUUGAGCCGAAAUCUGAAUUGUUAAUGAAAGCAAGUGCCUGUGCCAGAAGCAUAGUAAGGCCCAAUAACACUGAAACAUCAGUUUGGAGCAGAGAAAAGUUUAUUGCAGGGCUAUGCAAAAAUAGUGGGGAGGGGUAGCUUAUGACCCCCAAACCCUAAACUUCCCAAAGAGCUUCAGCAAAGCGUAUUUAAAGGCAAGGUGAGGGAGCGGGGUCACAGAGUAUUGAUCAGCGAGGGUACAACCUCUGAUUGGUUGAUGUAGAGGUAACAGGGCCCUUAACAUGAAGCCUGGAGGCUAUGUGCUCAGAAUCAUCAAAUAGUUAAUUUCUCCCAUUUGUUGGUGGUUUUUAACAUC